This 439-nucleotide ribosomal RNA is filed under the name uncultured bacterium. Its description in RNAcentral is "bacterial SSU rRNA". It matches the Rfam family "Bacterial small subunit ribosomal RNA", at positions 30 to 466 of the family's 1533-position model. The record is from RNAcentral.
AUUGAACGCUGGCGGCGUGCUUAACACAUGCAAGUCGUGCGGUAACAGGCGUAGCAAUACGUGCUGACGAGCGGCGAACGGGUGCGUAAUACAUGGGAAUCUGCCCUUUAGUGGGGAAUAACCCGGCGAAAGCCGGGCUAAUGCCGCAUAAGAUCUUCGGAUGAAAGCGGGGGAUCGUAAGACCUCGCGCUGAUGGAUGAGCCCAUGUCGGAUUAGCAGUUGGUGAGGUAACGGCUCACCAAGGCGACGAUCCGUAGCUGGUCUGAGAGGACGGCCAGCCACACUGGGACUGAGACACGGCCCAGACUCCUACGGGAGGCAGCAGUGGGGAAUAUUGGACAAUGGGCGAAAGCCUGAUCCAGCGACGCCGCGUGUGUAGAAGAAGGCCUGCGGGUUUGUAAAGCNCUUUUCGAUGGGAACGAAAUGUGCCGGGCUAAUA